AGGGGCCUCACUUCCUUCUACCAGUCUUAAGUAGCAAAACCAUGCCAUGAUCUAAGAAGAUGUGCUAAACAAUUUAAUCAUAAAAUUAGCAGUUAACAUGUACCAAGUAUUGACAAAUUCUUUACUAGAUGGGUUUGUUCCUUACCAGCUCAGCCACACUUUUAUAUGGAGAACACAAAUGUCUGGUGGGCUUCGAUGUCUUAUUUUAUUGGAGGCAAGAUCAUAGAAGAUAAGAAUCAGCCUUUCCAAACAAUUACAGCAGGGUUUCAAAGAACUUGACACCCAAUUGUUUUUCCCCUUCAGGACAUUCGGAGCCUUCCUCUAACACAGAUCCUGCUCUCAAGACGUUGUCUAAUAGUUGGACACGUAAACUGCAGUUGUCUAGAUAAUGACUAGACUUUCUCCUCAGCUGAGACACACAUCUACACAACACCCACAGCACAGAGUGUGGUUUAUAACAUUGACAGAUGUUGGAAACAAGCACAGCUCAUCUGAAUUCUUUUCAGACAGCCUUUGCUGUAUUCUGGAAGACACCUUGGUGCACUAUGUGCAGGUUUUAAUUGUCAUUUGUGAGGAACCAUGCAUUUUUCAACAGGGGCAUGCGUGAAUUUUAACUGAAGCACUGUGUUUUAACAGAAACUGUCAUGGAAAAGCAGGGUGCUCUUCCAGCAUCACAGAGAAAGAUGGAAAAGGGAGAUGUGGGUUUCAGUUUAGGUGGUAACUGGCAGGGGGAAGAAUUACUUUAAGGAAAUGAGAAAUCCAAGAGGUCACACAGCUGGGGUUUGAAACAGCUUCCUGAGUUCAGAUUAGCACAAAUGGUGCAGGAAGGAAAGAAAAAUCAUACGGUUUUCUACCCUGAAACAAGAGCAUGGGGUUUAGUCCUAUAUUAAUGAAUUCUUGUAACACUAACAGGUGAAGGCCUUCCUCAAACUAGAGCAAGUGCUUAGAGAUUCAGGCCUUCAUUCAAAACUCUUAGUGAUUUUUAAGUGGUGUCAUUAAGCCUGAAGAGGCAGGAACAUUCCUCUGACAGACAGGGUAUUUAGGGACUCACAGGUCUCAAAGCCAAGGCAGAUGGCUCAGACGAAGCCUCCAUCCCAGCAGGUGAAGGGUUAUUGUGUCAGCUGCCUCCCUCCUUAGCACAUUGCACCCAUCACUUACUCUGCUCAUUGUUCCGCUUGUUCCUGCUUCUUGUUAAAAAGUAAUUGCAUGAAAGGCUCCCACACUGAUCUCAAUUGAGAUUGCCCAGUUUCAACUUUGCAGCCUUAGUUCUUGGAACGUUUAUCUCCAGUACACCCUCUCAUAAGGUAUCACACGAAAAUCAAGGCACUCCUGAAUAGUCUGUCUGAGAAAAGAAUUCUUUUUAUAUCUGUUACUGCAAUUAAUCUAAUUGGGAUUGUAGCUUUUUUUACAUCUAUGUCUCCCGUGUUACAGUCUGAACUUCUAACAGGUAGUACCUCAAAUGGUGUGUUUUCCACAGACCUGGGAAGAUUAAGUCUUAUUUCUGCUUAUGUAUCCAAGGACAAGUUCUUAUGCCUGUGUUUCACAUCAGGAGCUCAUUCUGAAUUGCUUAUCCACUAGAGCUGCACGGAAUUAUUGGUACUUACUACCUCCCACCUUCUGUAGCUAUGAUCAGAUUAUUUUACACAUUGAAUAAAAACAACCAAGUGUCACUGACUUCUCCAGUAACA
This is a long non-coding RNA of Melopsittacus undulatus (budgerigar), 1688 nucleotides long. The record is from Ensembl. Lineage: Eukaryota; Metazoa; Chordata; Aves; Psittaciformes; Psittaculidae.